UUAUAUAUUAUUACGAAAUUUUCAUUAUAUUAUAUUUUAUUCAAAUUUUGUUUCAAAAUAAAUUAAUUAAAUAAAAUAAUUAAAGAGAGAAAAAACAAAAAUCAUGGUACCAAAAAAACCUUUCUUUCUCGACGAAGGCGACUUUGGCGGCGACUUUGGCGGCGACUUCGGUGGCGAUUGGAGCAACUUUCAUGUCCGACCAGAUUUCGUCACGAUUCCGAUGGCGAGUGGGGCGUUUUCGGUAAGACUCUUCAUACUCUGCCUUCAUUUAUACUUUCUCCUUUUUUCCAUGAAGUUUCUAGGCGUUUUAAUCUCAACAACUUUGAGUUCUGGCGAGGUAAAGAGAGCUUCUUCUUGGUCUCGACACAGAGCUUCGUGAACGGCGUUGGUGUAUAUCACGACAAAAAUCAUCGUCGUUGAACUUGAUUUUUCUGAAGUGAUAAACCAGAUCUCAUAUGAGUCUACCAUACCAGAUCUAUUGACUUUAUCCAUCAGACUAUUGUCUACCGGUGAAGAAAGUUAAUAAGGCUACCAUCCUUACAAAUACUCUACUAAUCUGAACAAUAUUUUUUCAAAUAGAGGUUAUCUGAGUAAGUACCAAAAACAAAUAUAAGUCUACCAUGAUUGUAUAUCAGAAAUAUUAAAUCUACCAAGAAUUAAUAAAUCUACCAUACUUGUAAUUAAACCUACCACAUUAUUUACUGAAUUUCAAUGGUUUUAAAUCUACCAUCAAUAGUAAUAAAUCUAUCAAAUUCAAUAAAUGUACCAUAAAUAGUAAUAAAUCUACUAACUUAAACAAGUCUAUCGUAUGUCAAAGUAAA
Molecule: long non-coding RNA, 821 nt
Filed under: Eutrema salsugineum
Lineage: Eukaryota; Viridiplantae; Streptophyta; Magnoliopsida; Brassicales; Brassicaceae
Description: long non-coding RNA (ESAL_LNC001329)
Source: RNAcentral